Molecule: microRNA, 23 nt
Filed under: Petromyzon marinus (sea lamprey)
Lineage: Eukaryota; Metazoa; Chordata; Hyperoartia; Petromyzontiformes; Petromyzontidae
Description: pma-miR-27b-5p
Gene: pma-miR-27b-5p
Source: miRBase by way of RNAcentral
AGGGCUUAACCCACCUGUGAGCA